GCCGGAGUGGCGGAAUGGUAGACGCGCUCGACUCAAAAUCGUGUGUCGUAAGGCGUGUGGGUUCGAGUCCCACCUCCGGUA
This 81-nucleotide transfer RNA is filed under the name Chitinophagales bacterium. RNAcentral's name for it is "tRNA-Leu". It matches the Rfam family "tRNA". Rfam says of the family: Transfer RNA (tRNA) molecules are approximately 80 nucleotides in length. RNAcentral also lists the same sequence under 1 other name. Lineage: Bacteria; Pseudomonadati; Bacteroidota; Chitinophagia; Chitinophagales. The record is from RNAcentral.